GCCAGGGUAGCUCAGGUGGUUAGAGCGUCGGACUCAUAACCCGAAGGUCGGCGGUUCAAGUCCGCCUCCUGGUACCA
Molecule: transfer RNA, 77 nt
Filed under: Opitutales bacterium
Lineage: Bacteria; Pseudomonadati; Verrucomicrobiota; Opitutia; Opitutales
Description: tRNA-Met
Rfam family: tRNA
About the family: Transfer RNA (tRNA) molecules are approximately 80 nucleotides in length. Their secondary structure includes four short double-helical elements and three loops (D, anti-codon, and T loops).
Source: RNAcentral